GAUGAACGCUCGCUACAGGCUUAACACAUGCAAGUCGAGGGGAAACGACAUCGAAAGCUUGCUUUUGAUGGGCGUCGACCGGCGCACGGGUGAGUAACGCGUAUCCAACCUGCCCAUCACUUGGGAAUAACCUUGCGAAAGUAAGACUAAUACCCAAUGAUAUCCCACGAAGGCAUCGGAAUGGGAUUAAAGAUUUAUCGGUGAUGGAUGGGGAUGCGUCUGAUUAGCUUGUUGGCGGGGUAACGGCCCACCAAGGCAACGAUCAGUAGGGGUUCUGAGAGGAAGGUCCCCCACAUUGGAACUGAGACACGGUCCAAACUCCUACGGGAGGCAGCAGUGACGAAUAUUGGUCAAUGGGCGAGAGCCUGAACCAGCCAAGUAGCGUGCAGGAAGACGGCCCUAUGGGUUGUAAACUGCUUUUAGAAGGGAAUAAAGUGGGUCACGUGUGACUUUUUGCAUGUACCUUAUGAAUAAGAACCGGCUAAUUCCGUG
This 492-nucleotide ribosomal RNA is filed under the name uncultured bacterium. RNAcentral describes it as "partial 16S ribosomal RNA". It matches the Rfam family "Bacterial small subunit ribosomal RNA", at positions 28 to 507 of the family's 1533-position model. The record is from RNAcentral.